AAAAGAGGAAAUCAUCAGAAAGUUUCGGGGUUCAAGAAAAGUAAAAAAAAAAGGGUAAUAAUAAUCCCCAGCGGAUAAGCAGCAUUCAAGCCAUGGUUAUCUAUGUGUUACCGUUUAUCCAGACAUAUUUCUGUUCGGUAUUCAGGCCGACUUUCUCCGUACCAGACGGGUUUUUCUUUCAAGAUUGCUUCUUCGCCAAUUCUGACAGGCGUUGUUAAUUAUUUUCCCAUCGGAGUGCAAAUUGUUCGUCUGUUCUUGGUAUUCAAU
Molecule: long non-coding RNA, 267 nt
Filed under: Lathyrus oleraceus (garden pea)
Lineage: Eukaryota; Viridiplantae; Streptophyta; Magnoliopsida; Fabales; Fabaceae
Description: Pisum sativum (pea) long non-coding RNA (PSAT_LNC021247)
Source: RNAcentral